Molecule: ribosomal RNA, 500 nt
Filed under: uncultured bacterium
Lineage: Bacteria
Description: partial 16S ribosomal RNA
Rfam family: Bacterial small subunit ribosomal RNA
Source: RNAcentral
AUUGAACGCUGGCGGCAUGCCUUACACAUGCAAGUCGAACGGCAGCACGGGAGCAAUCCUGGUGGCGAGUGGCGAACGGGUGAGUAAAGUAUCGGAACGUGCCCUGUCGUGGGGGAUAACGUAGCGAAAGUUACGCUAAUACCGCAUACGAUCUAUGGAUGAAAGCGGGGGAUCGCAAGACCUCGCGCGAUUGGAGCGGCCGAUAUCAGAUUAGGUAGUUGGGGGGGUAAAGGCUCACCAAGCCGACGAUCUGUAGCUGGUCUGAGAGGACGACCAGCCACACUGGGACUGAGACACGGCCCAGACUCCUACGGGAGGCAGCAGUGGGGAAUUUUGGACAAUGUGCGGAAGCCUGAUCCAGCCAUGCCGCGUGCAGGAUGAAGGCCUUCGGGUUGUAAACUGCUUUUGUACGGAACGAAAAGGUUUGGCCUAAUAAGCUGAGCUCAUGACGGUACCGUAAGAAUAAGCACCGGCUAACUACGUGCCAGCAGCCGCCGCCG